Molecule: ribosomal RNA, 274 nt
Filed under: uncultured bacterium
Lineage: Bacteria
Description: partial 16S ribosomal RNA
Rfam family: Bacterial small subunit ribosomal RNA
Source: RNAcentral
AUACGAAGGGGGCUAGCGUUGUUCGGAAUUACUGGGCGUAAAGCGCACGUAGGCGGAUUUGUUAGUCAGAGGUGAAAUCCCGGGGCUCAACCCCGGAACUGCCUUUGAUACUGCAAGUCUUGAGUCCGAGAGAGGUGAGUGGAAUUCCUAGUGUAGAGGUGAAAUUCGUAGAUAUUAGGAAGAACACCAGUGGCGAAGGCGGCUCACUGGCUCGGUACUGACGCUGAGGUGCGAAAGCGUGGGGAGCAAACAGGAUUAGAAACCCUUGUAGUCC